Molecule: long non-coding RNA, 260 nt
Organism: Hypanus sabinus (Atlantic stingray)
Lineage: Eukaryota; Metazoa; Chordata; Chondrichthyes; Myliobatiformes; Dasyatidae
Exons: 3
Source: RefSeq, a predicted model, not a curated record
GAUUAUCAGAUGCUGGCUGCCUGGAUUAGAGGGCUAUUACUUCAUCCUACUUAAAGGGUUCAUUUAUUAUCAAAAUCCUGAAGUACCGGCAACAUCCUUGCCUGCUGGAAGUAUCAUUCAGAUAUAUUGUGAUAAAUGCAUUGGACUGCUCAUUAGAUGAACACUAUGGAGGAGGAGCUCUUUCCCCUGCAGGUUCCUGUGUGAGACCCUCCAAAAUCCAAAUACACCACAUCCAAUGAUCCCCUGCAGACCUAUUUUGC